Rosa chinensis is the source of this 712-nucleotide long non-coding RNA. RefSeq lists it as uncharacterized. Lineage: Eukaryota; Viridiplantae; Streptophyta; Magnoliopsida; Rosales; Rosaceae. The transcript is spliced from 3 exons. The record is from RefSeq and is a predicted model, not a curated record.
AGGUUUCUACUUUCUAAUGAGAUGGGGGAACUCUAAUUAUAUGAUAAACCAAAUGAAUAGAGCUUUGCUGCCUCUCCCUCUUAAAAUCCUAGCUGGGCAUCAUGUCGGCACUUUUCGCCGACCUCGUUCGAAGUACCAGGUUCGUCCCAUCCAUAUAAUAAGUUUCCCACUCUAUCUCCCUCUGUAAAUGACGAAUCCAAGGAAGAAAGCAUUUGGUUUUUCCGAUGGCGUUUUCCGGCCAAACGGUGAGCAUUCCGACGAAACCCCCGAAGUGGGGUGCAGCAUACAUAUUGUUGGAAUGAAAGUCCAGUUCCAGCAUACAUAUUACUUUACAUUUUGAAACAAAAAAAAAGGGGGGUUUGUGUUUCCAGUUCCAAUAGAGAGAAGUGAACAACUGGUUUCGGGGUUUGCGGAAGAGUAUGAUCAAUUUCAAUAAGCAUUAUUUUCUUUACUGCUCUCCCAAUUAAUUGUGACUUUCUUGAAAUUAUCUCCUUGGAAAUCUUGGAUCGAAGGGACUAAGUCCUCGAACGAAGACUAUCCCAUUGGUGAAAGAAUUGCAGAGGAGCCAUGUAGUAGAAGAUGCUGAGUGGGAACUGGAGGAGCAAAUGCGAGUAUAGUAUCUAGUAUCUACGUCUUUUUAGUACGAAAAUUUGGAGGUCUUAAGGAGGUAUUUUGUAAUACCUGACCUAAAUCAUAAAUAAAUUUCCCUUUA